This 372-nucleotide ribosomal RNA is filed under the name uncultured organism. Its description in RNAcentral is "partial 16S ribosomal RNA". It matches the Rfam family "Bacterial small subunit ribosomal RNA", at positions 527 to 896 of the family's 1533-position model. The record is from RNAcentral.
GUAGGUGGCAAGCGUUGUCCGGAAUUAUUGGGCGUAAGGCGCGCGCAGGCGGUUCUUUAAGUCUGAUGUGAAAGCCCACGGGCUCAACCGUGGAGGGUCAUUGGAAACUGGAGAACUUGAGUACAGAAGAGGAAAGCGGAAUUCCACGUGUAGCGGUGAAAUGCGUAGAGAUGUGGAGGAACACCAGUGGCGAAGGCGGCUUUCUGGUCUGUAACUGACGCUGAGGCGCGAAAGCGUGGGGAGCAAACAGGAUUAGAUACCCUGGUAGUCCACGCCGUAAACGAUGAGUGCUAAGUGUUAGGGGGUUUCCGCCCCUUAGUGCUGCAGCUAACGCAUUAAGCACUCCGCCUGGGGAGUACGGCCGCAAGGCUG